GGGCUGGCGACGGAAGUGACGUCAGAGCUCGCGCAUGCGUGAGGGACGAUGGCGGAGGUGGUGGCGAGACUCGCUCGGGAGCUGGAGGCCCCUGGAGGGACUGCAGCAGCCCUUGUUUAUGGCUUUGUACCUGCUGCACAACGACAUGUGAGUGGCUUCUCCCCACCUGUGGCUUUACACCCGGGUUUGUCACCAGCAGCUCGAGCUGCAGCCGCCAGAACGAGAGGAGGUGGUUGUGAAUAACACACGGUAUCUCUGGAAAAGAAUCCCUCCUGCCAUCAGAUCUAAACAAUGUCUGAAGUUCCUGAAGCAGCAGAAGCAGUGACAGCAACAGGCUGGAUCAAUCCACAGGCAGGACAGUCUUGUCCCGGGCCAGGAUUUCACUGGAGUGUCAUCAGCUGCUUGGGAAUUGCUGAAGGGACCAUGAGGACAGUCUGAACUCUGGCAUCUGAUUCCACAGCAAAGAGCACGUCCAGAAGCGCCUCCUCACCCUCCUGCAUGUCAUGAGUGUCUUCCAUGGCACCACCCGGCCUGUUUGGGAACGGGAACGGCUGCUGGGAGCUCUGGCAGCAGCACCUGGAGGCCAGGUAAAAAGAGCCAUGGGAUUGUUUUGGCUGCUGCUGGAUCUGGUUUUUUCCAGAUGUCCCUCUGAUUGAUCCAUUUCACAGUGGGUUCCUAGGGCACAUUGGUGGGUGAUUCCAAGAAUUUGAAAAUAGUGGGAAAGCAGUGGGACAACAUGUGAACUUGAUCCAUUUCUAGUAAUUCCAACCUUCUCCCACAACAUGGCUCUGGGGGAAACCUGGUUAAAGAGUAAGGAUGCAGAGGAACAAGUGAUCUAAAACCCCCUGGCUCUCUGUCAGAGCAAACCUGGUCAUUCCAGUGGAUCUCUCUUUGAAGCUGUGGGAUCAUAGGGUUUUCCAGGAAACAAUAACAAGGACAGAGGUGAGGUCAUAGGCUUCCAGUUCUAAUGAUUUGAUGGACAUAGGAAUGAUCCUUGUAUGUUUUACACUCCCUUUUUUUUUCCUGGAAUAAUUUUAAAAUGAUUCCUGUAACAAACCGUGUGAAUUUGGGAAUUUAAAUUGGAAAGUAAACGGUGCCAAAUGAAUGGCAGGGAGAGCUCACAGAAUCCUCAUGGAAUACUGGAGUGGUUUGGGUUGGAGGGGCCCUUAAGGAUCAUCUUGUUCAGGGAUACCUGCUGCUGUGCCAGGUGGCUUCCAGCCCCAUCCAGCCUAGCCUGGAAU
Molecule: long non-coding RNA, 1241 nt
Organism: Corapipo altera (White-ruffed manakin)
Lineage: Eukaryota; Metazoa; Chordata; Aves; Passeriformes; Pipridae
Exons: 5
Source: RefSeq, a predicted model, not a curated record